RNAcentral lists this long non-coding RNA (521 nucleotides) under Ananas comosus (pineapple). RNAcentral describes it as "long non-coding RNA (ACOM_LNC018444)". Lineage: Eukaryota; Viridiplantae; Streptophyta; Magnoliopsida; Poales; Bromeliaceae. The record is from RNAcentral.
AAAAAGUUAUAUAUAUAAUAAUUUAUUAAUUUAUAGGUUAAUUGCAUAAAGCUCACCGUAAACAUAUCGAAUAGCAAAUAUAUCACUAUAAAUUUCAACUUUUCAUAUUUAUCCUUACAAAAGUCCUAACGUUCUCAUGUUUGAAUCCGUUAAGAAAAUAUAGUUAACCAUAGCUCAAAUAUUUAAUCCUUAUUAGUGAAUGAGGUAAAUUAAUAUUUUUACCCUUGUUAUAUUAGUUGUGAUGGUAGAAAGAAAGAAGAUAACCGUUUGAAAAUUUUUAGAUGGAUAUUUCUCUAUAAUUCAAACAUUUGGGGCUUUUGAAUAAAUAUAUUUAUGAUAGCAAAAAUAUUAUUUUAUUUAUUUUUUUUGUUAAAAAAUAAACAACACUAUAACGGUCAUAAACCAGAGGAGCAAAUAUGAAUAUCACUUGAUUUUUGGAGAAAUAAAUAUAAAAAGUCGAAUUUUGUAGAAAUAUAUUUAUAAUUCAAUAUGUUUAAAAUUAACCCAAAUAUAUAUAAAUA